RNAcentral lists this ribosomal RNA (422 nucleotides) under uncultured Actinomyces sp. RNAcentral's name for it is "bacterial SSU rRNA". It matches the Rfam family "Bacterial small subunit ribosomal RNA", at positions 355 to 776 of the family's 1533-position model. Lineage: Bacteria; Bacillati; Actinomycetota; Actinomycetes; Actinomycetales; Actinomycetaceae. The record is from RNAcentral.
UGGGGAAUAUUGCACAAUGGGCGAAAGCCUGAUGCAGCGACGCCGCGUGAGGGAUGACGGCCUUCGGGUUGUAAACCUCUUUCGCUCAUGGUCAAGCCGCAACUUUAGGUUGUGGUGAGGGUAGUGGGUAAAGAAGCGCCGGCUAACUACGUGCCAGCAGCCGCGGUAAUACGUAGGGCGCGAGCGUUGUCCGGAAUUAUUGGGCGUAAAGGGCUUGUAGGCGGUUGGUCGCGUCUGCCGUGAAAUCCUCUGGCUUAACUGGGGGCGUGCGGUGGGUACGGGCUGACUUGAGUGCGGUAGGGGAGACUGGAACUCCUGGUGUAGCGGUGGAAUGCGCAGAUAUCAGGAAGAACACCGGUGGCGAAGGCGGGUCUCUGGGCCGUUACUGACGCUGAGGAGCGAAAGCGUGGGGAGCGAACAGG